ACUGGUUGAUCCUGCCAGUAGUCAUAUGCUUGUCUCAGAGAUUAAGCCAUGCAUGUCUAAGUACAUACCUUAAAACGGUGAAACCGCGAAUGGCUCAUUAAAUCAGCUAUGGUUCCUUAGAUCGUAAACGCUACAUGGAUAACUGUAGUAAUUCUAGAGCUAAUACAUGCCUUGAAUCCCUGACCCGCAAGGGGACGGGUGCAUUUAUUAGAACAGAACCAACCGGGUGCGGCUUAUGCUGUGCCUGUUACAUUCUGUGAUGACUCUGGAUAACUUUACUGAUCGCAGUCGGCCUUGUGUGUCGGCGACGGAUCUUUCAAAUGUCUGCCCUAUCAAUUUGUUGGUAGGUGAUUUGCCUACCAUGAUGAUAACGGGUAACGGGGAAUCAGGGUUCGAUUCCGGAGAGGGAGCCUUGAGAAAUGGCUACCACAUCCAAGGACGGCAGCAGGCGCGAAAAUUACCCACUCCCAGCACGGGGAGGUAGUGACGAAAAAUACGGAUACGGGACUCAAUUGAGGCUCCGUAAUUCGAAUGAGUACAAUUUAAAUCCUGUAACGAGGACCAAUUGGAGGGCAAGUCUGGUGCCAGCAGCCGCGGUAACUCCAGCUCCAAAAGCGUAUAUUAAAGUUGCUGCAGUUAAAAAGCUCGUAGUUGGAUCUGGGUAGUGCGAUCGCAUGCUGUUGCUUGUUCACGGUCUUGGUUACGAUCAGGGCAGUGGUCAGCUCGGCGUAGUGGUUGUGCAACCUUUCAGCCGUGUCUGUGUUUUAUUAAACAGGUGUCGAUGGGUUAAUGAGUAUUGUAUCUUAUUGACCUGUUGGCAUGCUUUCGGAUGCCUUUAAACGGGUGUCGGGGGCGGACGGCAUCUUUACUUUGAACAAAUUUGAGUGCUCAAAGCAGGCCUAUGCGCCUGAAAAUUCUUGCAUGGAAUAAUGAAAUAGGACUUCGGUUCUAUUUUGUUGGUUUUCGGAUCCGAAGUAAUGGUUAAGAGGGACAGACGGGGGCAUUUGUAUGGCGGUGUUAGAGGUGAAAUUCUGGGAUCGCCGCCAGACAAACUACAGCGAAAGCAUUUGCCAAGAAUGUUUUCAUUGAUCAGGAGCGAAAGUCAGAGUUUCGAAGACGAUCAGAUACCGUCGUAGUUCUGACCAUAAACGAUGCCAACUGACGAUCCGCGUUGGUUCUAUAAUUGACAUCGCGGGCAGUCCCCCGGGAAACCUUUAAGUCUUUGGGCUCCGGGGGGAGUAUGGUUGCAAAGCUGAAACUUAAAGGAAUUGACGGAAGGGCACCACCAGGAGUGGAGCCUGCGGUUUAAUUCGACUCAACACGGGAAAACUCACCCGGCCCGGACACUGUGAGGAUUGACAGAUUGAAAGCUCUUUCUUGAUUCGGUGGUUGGUGGUGCAUGGCCGUUCUUAGUUGGUGGAGCGAUUUGUCUGGUUAAUUCCGAUAACGAACGAGACUUUAACCUACUAAAUAGUAGACUGGUCCUCUGUGCUCGUUCAGGGCGCGGCUUCUACUGCUUCUUUAUGGAGUAGUGUGGUCGUGAUCCGACGGGUGCGGUGCCAGUUUUUACUUCUUAGAGGGACAAGCGGCACACUUAAGUCGCACGAAAUUGAGCAAUAACAGGUCUGUGAUGCCCUUAGAUGUCCGGGGCCACACGUGCGCUACAAUGACGG
This 1673-nucleotide ribosomal RNA is filed under the name Schistosoma japonicum. RNAcentral describes it as "SSU rRNA". It matches the Rfam family "Eukaryotic small subunit ribosomal RNA", at positions 1 to 1509 of the family's 1831-position model. The record is from RNAcentral. Lineage: Eukaryota; Metazoa; Platyhelminthes; Trematoda; Strigeidida; Schistosomatidae.